AUCAACUCGGCAAGGAAAGUGGAGCCAUUUAAGAGGGAAUUAGAAAGUAUUGCUGUUCUUUUAAGCAUGGAGAGUGGGGUUCGACAACUUCGCGUGAAGCCGCACCAUCCCAGGCACGUUGAAAACGCCACCUAUUACAACCCUUCAAGGUGGUUCAACAUCACUCUUGGCGUGGCGGGGCCGUUAGGCAGCCUUCUUGGCGAUUAAUCUGCCAUUUCCCGUCGUCAGUCAAGCAAUACGUUUG
Mobula hypostoma (lesser devil ray) is the source of this 244-nucleotide long non-coding RNA. RefSeq lists it as uncharacterized. The record is from RefSeq and is a predicted model, not a curated record. Lineage: Eukaryota; Metazoa; Chordata; Chondrichthyes; Myliobatiformes; Myliobatidae. The transcript is spliced from 4 exons.